GAGAGUAUAGCUUAAACCAAAGCAAUUCGCUUACACCGAAUAGAUGCCCAUUAAAACCGGACUACCCUCA
Molecule: transfer RNA, 70 nt
Filed under: Pristimantis fenestratus (Rio Mamore robber frog)
Lineage: Eukaryota; Metazoa; Chordata; Amphibia; Anura; Strabomantidae
Description: tRNA-Val
Rfam family: tRNA
About the family: Transfer RNA (tRNA) molecules are approximately 80 nucleotides in length. Their secondary structure includes four short double-helical elements and three loops (D, anti-codon, and T loops). Further hydrogen bonds mediate the characteristic L-shaped molecular structure. tRNAs have two regions of fundamental functional importance: the anti-codon, which is responsible for specific mRNA codon recognition, and the 3' end, to which the tRNAs corresponding amino acid is attached (by aminoacyl-tRNA synthetases). tRNAs cope with the degeneracy of the genetic code in two manners: having more than one tRNA (with a specific anti-codon) for a particular amino acid; and 'wobble' base-pairing, i.e. permitting non-standard base-pairing at the 3rd anti-codon position.
Source: RNAcentral